This 549-nucleotide ribosomal RNA is filed under the name uncultured bacterium. RNAcentral's name for it is "bacterial SSU rRNA". It matches the Rfam family "Bacterial small subunit ribosomal RNA", at positions 355 to 896 of the family's 1533-position model. The record is from RNAcentral.
UGGGGAAUAUUGGACAAUGGGGGAAACCCUGAUCCAGCGACGCCGCGUGUGUGAAGAAGGCCUGCGGGUUGUAAAGCACUUUUAGUGGGGAUGAAAAAUUCAGGGCUAAUAUCCCUGGGUCUUGACCUAACCCAAAGAAAAAGCACCGGCUAACUCUGUGCCAGCAGCCGCGGUAAUACAGAGGGUGCGAGCGUUAAUCGGAAUUACUGGGCGUAAAGCGUGCGUAGACGGUUAGAUAAGUCGGGUGUGAAAGCCCCGGGCUCAACCUGGGAAUUGCAUUCGAGACUGUUUAGCUAGGGUACGGAAGAGGGAAGCGGAAUUUCAGGUGUAGCGGUGAAAUGCGUAGAUAUCUGAAGGAACACCAGUGGCGAAAGCGGCUUCCUGGUCCAGUACCGACGUUCAGGCACGAAAGCGUGGGGAGCAAACAGGAUUAGAUACCCUGGUAGUCCACGCCAUAAACGAUGAGAACUAGACGUUGGGGGGGUAAGCCUCUCAGUGUCGCAGCUAACGCGCUAAGUUCUCCGCCUGGGGAGUACGGCCGCAAGGUUG